This 495-nucleotide long non-coding RNA is filed under the name Rattus norvegicus (Norway rat). RNAcentral's name for it is "long non-coding RNA NONRATT003969". Lineage: Eukaryota; Metazoa; Chordata; Mammalia; Rodentia; Muridae. The record is from RNAcentral.
AAGGCUAGUUCAGUGGCACCAGGAAGUGUCUAUGUCAUGACAGCAGACAGGGUCCAUUCAAGUAAAAACAAGCAAAGCCACCAGGAAAGAUGUGCACCUUUCAACUGAGCAGUCGGGAGGCUGAGACAGGGAGAAACCAGCCUGCAACCAGUCUGGGUCACACAAUCACGUCAGCUGUCCAUCCAUGGACUGAAACCUUUGGAAACGUGAGCUGAGUUCUGGUCCCUCCAUUUAAGUAAUUCCUCCCAGCACGAGAUGGGAAGCCCUGCCGUUCUUCUGAGUCACUGAGGGAUUUGGAUAUUAUUGGAUAUUUACAAGGAUGCUUGAUUUUAUUAGUACCUCAAAGGCCACACAAUCAACAGUCACAUGACGCAUGCAGGCUACAUGAACUGGAAUCUUGGAAGAAUGAUCCUCCAGGCGGAAGUACAGAACGAGAAGCAGAAAAGAGCCUGUCCCAAAGCCUGUCCGGGCUGGAACAGCACAGAGCUCAAGUUC